This 625-nucleotide long non-coding RNA is filed under the name Malus domestica (apple). RNAcentral's name for it is "long non-coding RNA (MDOM_LNC014761)". The record is from RNAcentral. Lineage: Eukaryota; Viridiplantae; Streptophyta; Magnoliopsida; Rosales; Rosaceae.
UUUGAUUUUCUCGGCGACAAUAUGAAUCUCACCCUGCGUGCACCCGCUACAUUUUUCACCCAUUCAUUUUCUAGCACUUUCUCACCUUCCAAACACAUCCUCCGUUGCUCCAAACCCUCACCCUCCCACCUCACCCCCAAAAUCACCAUGUCCUCCACCGCCUCCUCCGCCACCCAAACAGUCAUCGAGCACAUCGUCCUCUUCAAAGUCAAGGACGACACCGACCCAGCCAAGGUCAGCGCGAUGGUCAACAACCUCAACGGCCUCACCUCUCUCAACCUCACACUCCACCUCACCGCCUCCCCGAUCCUCCGCACCCGAUCCUCGCCCUUCGCCUUCACCCACCUCCUCCACAGCCGCUACAGCUCCAAAGACGACCUCAGCGCCUAUACUGUGCACCCGGGGCACAUGAGCGUGGUGAAAGAAUCGGUCCUCCCCGUCUGCGACGACAUCAUGGCCGUCGACUGGGUCGCCGACGACCUCCAGGGCCCUGCUGUCCCGCCGCCGGGAUCUGCAAUCCGCCUGACGUUUUUGAAAUUGAAGGAGGGUUUGGGGGAGGAGUCGAAAUCAGAGAUUUUGGGGGUGAUUAAAGGGAUUAAGGAGAGUUUUGGGGAGAUUAAUCAGA